Panonychus citri (citrus red mite) is the source of this 492-nucleotide long non-coding RNA. RefSeq lists it as uncharacterized. NCBI's taxonomy places the organism in Eukaryota, Metazoa, Arthropoda, Arachnida, Trombidiformes, Tetranychidae. The transcript has 2 exons. The record is from RefSeq and is a predicted model, not a curated record.
UUCUUCACCAAUUAAUCAAUCAUCUAUCUCAGAUAGACAAAUUCUUCUUUUCUCUUCUUUCCCUCUUCCUCUUUUUCUUUCUUUAUCUCUCUUCCUUUUCUCCCUCUAUCUCUCUCUCUCGCUUUUUCUCUUUCUUUCUUUCUCUGUCUAUACAUAUUUGAUGUGUCUCAUAAUGAUAAUGUAUUAGACAAAAUUAAGAAGGACAUUCAAUGAAAAGAUAAAGAAAAGAAAUAAAGAAUCAAAGAAAAGAAAAUGUAUUUCUCUUCAGUUCCUGACGAUUGUUUCAUUUUCACUUUGGAAAAAACUCUAAGUCUCAAUUUAUUUAUGGAAUCUCAUUCAUUCUGAACAGUUAAUUAUCCAGCGAACAAUCAAAGUUCUGAAAUUUUAAGCGAAAAACAAUUCGUUUCCAUAAACGUUCAAGAAAUUGUGUAUAAAUUGUUUCUUUAAUUCAGAUUAUACAUUCAAAUACCUUGAGUUGUGUUCAACAAUUGA